CCCUUAGAUGUCCGGGGCUGCACGCGCGCUACACUGAAGGAAUCAGCGUGCUAAAACCAUUGUCGAAAGGCAUUGGUAAACCCAUUAAAAUCCUACGUGAUUGGGAUCGGGAAUUGCAAUUAUUUCCCUUGAACGAGGAAUUCCCAGUAAGUGUGGGUCAUAAGCUCGCGUUGAUUACGUCCCUGCCCUUUGUACACACCGCCCGUCGCUGCCCGGGACUGAGCCGUUUCGAGAAAAGCGGGGACUGCUGCUGUCGGGGCUUUCGGGCCUUGGCUUCGGUGGAAACCGCUUUAAUCGGAGUGGCUUGAACCGGGCAAAAGUCGUAACA
Molecule: ribosomal RNA, 328 nt
Filed under: uncultured eukaryote
Lineage: Eukaryota
Description: partial 18S ribosomal RNA
Rfam family: Eukaryotic small subunit ribosomal RNA
Source: RNAcentral